CGUGACCCCUUGUGUUGGAGCUGGCAGGGUCCAGUGCUGCAGGAUGGGGCCUGGCAUCCCCAGCCAGGCACACGGCGCUGGAGCUGUGAGCCCCCCUGCAGCAGUGACUGAGGGUUUGUGCCAAUACAGCUGCAGUUGUUCAAGAGGCUUCUCUGUAGUUGGCGAUGACAUGCAGCUCUGUAUUCACACCCACGGUAUCUCCCAUUUCUCCCAUGCACACUCACCUCUGCGGUAUGAUUAUAUGUAGAAAUGAAAAGCAAAUAUGCAGCAGAAACUGAGAGGUCAUAUUCAGUCAUGAUGGAUCGUGGAAACACAGAACAUCCUGAGUUGGAAGGGACCCACAAGGAUCAUCGACUCCAACUCCUGUUGAUGCUGCUAAUCCAAGACGUGUUCUUUGCGCCUGGGGGCAAUGAGGCCGUGGCACAGGCUGCCCAGAGGAGUUGCGGAUGUUCCCUUCCCUGGAAGUGCUCAAAGCCGGGUUGGAUGGGGCUUUGGCCAGCACAUACACUAUUUUGUGCAUAAUCUGUAACAUAAAAGGAAAAUCAACCUUUGUAGUGAUGAAAUCUAUUAAUGUAUAUUAUAUAUAACAUAUAUAAUAUUUACAAUUAAGUAAAUUCUGUUAAACACACGAUAUGAAAAAUUAAAUUUAUAUCUGUAUGUAGAUACACAGACAUGUAUAUGGGAUGGUGCAUGUGAAUGCACACACAGAGUGGGAGGUGGAGGUUAGCGUGUAAGUGCGUGUCUGUAUUUAGUAUAGCAAGCACAUAUUGUCCAUAACCUAUAACAUACGUAGUAAAAGCAAGCCUUUAUAUCAGUAAAACAAAUAAAAAAAAAUCUCUUUGUAAAUGUCUAUGUAUAUAUAAAUCUGUAUUGAUCAAGUAAAUUCUACUAAAUAUGCUAUAUGAAAAUAUAAUCAUGGAAUCUGUAUAUUUAGUUAUAUGGAUAUAUAGAUAUAUAGAUGGAUACAUAUGCAUAUAUAUAUAUAUAUAUAUAUAUAUAUAUACACACACACAGGGGGUGAGAGAGAGUGUGAAUGUGCAUGUAUGUAUAGUGGAACAAGUAAAGUUUGUGCCUGAAGUAUUUUUUUUCUAUAUCUCGAUAGAUAGAUAGAUAGAUAGAUAUGAGAUCUUUGUAUCAAUAAAAUCUACUGUGCGUGUGUGUGUGUGUGUAUAUAUAUAUAUAUAUAAAACUGGUCUCUUAAAAAUAAAUUCUGCUAAAUAACAUAUAUGAAAAU
Cygnus olor (mute swan) is the source of this 1234-nucleotide long non-coding RNA. RefSeq lists it as uncharacterized. The record is from RefSeq and is a predicted model, not a curated record. NCBI's taxonomy places the organism in Eukaryota, Metazoa, Chordata, Aves, Anseriformes, Anatidae. The transcript is spliced from 3 exons.